RNAcentral lists this long non-coding RNA (524 nucleotides) under Oryctolagus cuniculus (rabbit). RNAcentral describes it as "lncRNA (ENSOCUG00000034754.1)". Lineage: Eukaryota; Metazoa; Chordata; Mammalia; Lagomorpha; Leporidae. The record is from RNAcentral.
AUGUUUGGGGUGGAAUUCAUGAAAAAUCGGAUCCGUUCCGCCAGUGCAUGGAGCCUGAUCAUCACCUCGUUUCUUUGUGGCACACAUCCAUUGGAGCUGCUUUUUAGAAAUACAGGAUGGAGAUUCAGGUGCCCUCCUUCAGACCCUGUUUCCCCGGUAGUUACUUUGGUAGAAUCGGUGUUCUUUCCUACCUGCUCGUCUUUCAGGUGCCCUAAUGGUUUCUCUGUGCCUCUGGUUCUCUUUCAGUGGGUUGUCCUCUGGCCACACAGCAUCCCUUAUGAGAGCCUUGGGCUCCUGGGCUCGUUCACUCAGUACCUAGUGGACCAUCAUCACACCCUCCUGCACAACAGUGAGAGUAAUUGGGGCCAGUGCUGUGGCAUAGGAGGUAAAACCGCCACCUGCAGAGCCGGCAUUCCAUAUGGACACCAGUUCAAGUCCUGGCUGCUCCACUUCUGAUCCACCUCUCAACUAUGGCCUGGGAAAGCAGUGAGAUGGCCCAAGUGCUUGGGCCCCUGUACCCACAU